CAUCUCUGCUGGAGCCUCGGUUACGCCAACAAACCUACCAGCAACACGGUGCAAAGCGUGGCUGACAAGCGCUUAUUUUUACAAUCUUAACCAGUGGUAAUCGCCGUGGUAAACCCAUCGUACAACUAGGCGGUGCUCAGCUAAACAGUGGUACACUGGGCUUCAGAGCUGUGCAUUGCCCCAUCGUCAAAUAUGCCCCGCCAGGAUGCUCUCUUAUAGCGCUGGUAGCAUGAGCCAGGCAUAGAUGUAAAGAACGGCGAAGGGAAAGCGCGAAAGAAGAGCCUGAGGGAUGAGAUGGGAGCUCGAUUGGAAGGAGAGCCUGUACGCAUCUUUCAAUUCAACAUCUACACUGUUUCUUCUAUCGUCUACC
Molecule: small RNA, 370 nt
Filed under: Histoplasma capsulatum var. duboisii H88
Lineage: Eukaryota; Fungi; Ascomycota; Eurotiomycetes; Onygenales; Ajellomycetaceae
Description: Histoplasma capsulatum H88 hypothetical RNA
Source: RNAcentral